Long non-coding RNA from Ipomoea nil (Japanese morning glory), 179 nucleotides. RefSeq lists it as uncharacterized. The transcript is spliced from 3 exons. Lineage: Eukaryota; Viridiplantae; Streptophyta; Magnoliopsida; Solanales; Convolvulaceae. The record is from RefSeq and is a predicted model, not a curated record.
AUGGUGAUAAAAUAGAGAUCCAGACAAGUGAUGGCAAAAAGAGCCAACAAGAAGAGUCUGUUGGGGUGAAAAAUAUUCGUGAGUAUGAAGAAAACCAGCUCAAAGUUGUAGACCAGAUGGCUGAAGAAAGGCUUAGCCUGCACAAUCAGCAAUCAAAGAUUAAAUAUCAAUUGGUGUAU